Molecule: non-coding RNA, 1286 nt
Organism: Pelobates cultripes (western spadefoot toad)
Lineage: Eukaryota; Metazoa; Chordata; Amphibia; Anura; Pelobatidae
Source: the annotation of a GenBank genome assembly
CUGACACGUGACAAGCUGCUCCUGUUUUCACAGCAACUUCAACAUUGUGUACUAUGAUCAGAGGUAGGUAACCUUAGGCAGUCCAGAUGCUGUGAAUUACAUAUCCAAUAAUGCUGGCAAAGCAUUAUUGGAGGUGUAGUCCAAAACAUCUGGAAUACCAAAUGCGUAUGAAUGAAAAGUAUGGUGUGUGUGAAUGGUCAGUAACAAGGGUUGAAGCCUUGACGUGGCGUUACUGCUCACAUGUGUAUCCAUGUGCCAAUUCAACCAAUGUGAGUCACCAUAAUCCUUAUGAGGUAACUAUAAAUACUGUGACUGUGGAGAAUUAAACGCCCGUAUCACCCAAACACUGCUCACACUGUGCCCGUAUCUCCUAAACACUGCUUAUACUGUGACCGUAUCACCUAAACACUGAUUAUACUGUGACCGUAUCACAAAUAUUGCCUUAUACUGUGACCGUACCAUCUAAACACUGCUUAUACUGUGACCGUAUCACAAACAUUGCCUUAUACUGUGACCGUACCAUCUAAACACUGCUUAUACUGUGACCGUAUCUCCUAAACACUGCUUAUACUGUAAUUGUAUCACAUAAACACUGCUUAUAUUGUGACCGUAUCGCCUAUACACUGCUUACACUGUGACCGUAUCACCUAAACACUGCUUAUAUUGUGACUGUAUCACAUAAACAUUGCCUUAUACUGUGACCGUAUCAUAUAAAAAUUGCCUUAUACUGUGACCGUAUCGCCUAUACACUGCUUACACUGUGACCGUGCCACCUACACACUGCUUACACUGUGACCGUGCCACCUACACACUGCUUACACUGUGACCGUGCCACCUACACACUGCUUACACUGUGAAUGUUGUUAUUUUUUUUCAAGUUAGUUUUAGUGUUUGCAGUUUCAUUAAGUUAUUAACCACUAUCCUCAAUCUUCUGUUCUGAGUUUUCUUAGAUUUGUGGGAAAAACAAGGCGAUCCUCUCAAUUUUACACUCCUUUAUUGGUUCCAGUGCCAGAGAAAAAACUCACCACCAUUAACCUCGACCUGCUGAAACAGAAGAGAUUACCUUCUUCUACAGAAAACUUCCAUAUGACUGCUUCGGAACACAUGCUGCAGACAUGACGUAACCUUCAUUUUCCAGUGAUUAAGAAUCCUGGACGGCCCAGAUAGAGAGAGACUAUUAUAUUAUAAAGAUACUGCCUUCCUAAUGCCAUACAGCCUUUCUGUACAGGUGAUUGAACUUUCUCCAUGUUGGAUACGACACUCUGCUUUUUUAAGCCAGUUUCCGC